This 461-nucleotide long non-coding RNA is filed under the name Homo sapiens (human). Its description in RNAcentral is "HSALNT0345353". Lineage: Eukaryota; Metazoa; Chordata; Mammalia; Primates; Hominidae. The record is from RNAcentral.
GCAGAAUUCUGAUAAGAUGGAGGAAAGAAAAGCCAGAGUGAAGCAGACCAUUAGCAGAUAAUUGUCAUAAUCUUGAUACUAAAUGGAGACCAGAAUUAAGUCAAUCUAUAUCCUCCAGGAUUCUCCAGAUGAUCCUCUAGGAAGAGAAAAGGGACAUUAAAUACCUGAUCCCACACUCCUUCCUUCCUUUAUUCUUUUUUUGGUAUUCUCCAUUCAAACUAAGUUGAAGUCAGAAGGCAAAGGAUCCUUUGAUGUAGUCCAUUCAGAGCAGAAGGAGAAGAAUGCAGAGUGGAUCUGCAGGGACAAAUAGAAGAUGCAGCGCAAUGGAGAUACUGUUUAAUGCCGCAGGGGACCUGGGCUCUUUUCGUCUCUCCUAUGUAAAGAGAAUUUCCUCCAUCCAAGUAAAACUGAUGCGAUCGGUCAGCUUUCUAGACAACAGAAAUAAAUAAUUCUCUCUGUGA